Bombus impatiens (common eastern bumble bee) is the source of this 439-nucleotide long non-coding RNA. RefSeq lists it as uncharacterized. The record is from RefSeq and is a predicted model, not a curated record. The transcript has 2 exons. NCBI's taxonomy places the organism in Eukaryota, Metazoa, Arthropoda, Insecta, Hymenoptera, Apidae.
UCGGUGGUUGUGUUCAUCAUGUUUUUGCCGAAGACGCGAAACAACUGGUUGACUGGUCGCGUCUUAAACACCCUGCAUAGUCGCAUCGUCUGCGCACAGAUCAGAGCGAAAGAGUGGUUCUGAGGUAAGAGCUGAGCUGUUCGACUCAUUCCUCUUGCCAGAAGGUUCGUCACCUUCCCCACUCCGUGGCCAGACCCUUCCAGGGCAUUCUUAUCAUCUUACACGCGCUGUAGAGCACUAUGACGUCGGGUCAUCGGCUACACGUGCGUUCCUGGGAACUUUGAAACUGUAACGUUCGCGUCUCUUAGAAUUUGUCAACCAAAACUGCACAUUGCACACAUCUGUGACAGAACUCGUCGACAAACCAAAAUUUAUGGCAUCGGCAGCCCGAUGGCUUUCGAAAGGCCUCGAUAGGUGCAGUUGCUCCUACGGAGUUCCG